AUGGCGUCGAGAUCCUACUCCAACCUCUUGGAGCUCGCCGGCGGGGCUGACCGCGACCAGCCGCUGCCGUCCCUCGGGCAGCCGCGGAUACCGCGGGUGAUGACGGCGUCUGGCAUUGUGCCCGGCCUUGACCGCUCCGACGCCCCAGCUGACGCCGACGCCGACGCCGCCUCGGUGGCCUCCGACGACCAACCCGACCAGCCGCCGCGGGAGCGCACCAUCAUCGUGGCCAACCAGCUCCCCAUCCGCGCCUGCCGCGGCGCCGACGGCGCCUGGGAGUUCUCCUGGGACCAGGACAGCCUCCUGCGGCAGCUCAAGGAGGCUCUGCGCGCGCACCAGGGCCGCGCCCACAUGGACUUCGUCUACAUCGGCGGCCUGCGCGACGACAUCCCGGCGGAGGAGCAGGACAAGGUCGCGCUCGAGCUCUACGACCGCUUCCGCUGCGUGCCCGCCUUCCUGCCGGACGACCUCCGCUCCCGCUUCUACCACGGCUUCUGCAAGCAGCAGCUGUGGCCACUGUUCCAUUACAUGCUGCCACUGUCGCCCGAGCUCGGCGGCCGCUUUGACCGCGACCUGUGGAAGGCCUACCUGUCCGUCAACAAGAUCUUCACCGACAAGAUCAUGGAGGUGAUCAACCCCGAGGAGGACUUCGUGUGGGUGCACGACUACCAUCUCAUGCUCCUGCCCACCUUCCUGCGCAAGAAAUUCAACCGGGUCAGGCUGGGAUUCUUCCUGCACAGCCCGUUCCCAUCAUCGGAGAUCUACAAGACCCUGCCGGUGCGCGAGGAGGUGCUCCGGGCGCUGCUGAAUGCCGACUUGAUUGGCUUCCACACAUUUGACUAUGCCAGGCAUUUCCUCUCAUGCUGCAGCAGGAUGCUGGGAAUGAAAUACGAGUCGCAGAGGGGAUACAUUGGACUGGAAUAUUAUGGACGGACUGUCACUGUCAAGAUACUGCCGGUGGGGAUACAUUUGACGCAGCUGCAGGCAGUGCUCAACCUCCCGGAGACCGGGCUCAAGGUCGCCGAGCUUAUGAAGGAGUUCCCUGAUCCUCACCGCAUCAUGAUGCUUGGUGUGGAUGACAUGGACAUAUUUAAAGGCAUCAGUCUGAAGCUUUUGGCAUUUGAGGAGCUCUUGACGCAGCAUCCAGAGUAUCGAGGAAAGGUGGUGCUGGUACAGAUUGCCAAUCCGGCUAGGGGGAAGGGAAAGGAUGUCAAGGAGGUACAGGAUGAGAGCUAUGCCAUGGUGAAGCGCAUCAAUGAGGCAUUUGGGCAGCCAGAUUACCAGCCAGUCAUAUUGAUCGACAGGCCGCUGCACUUCUAUGAGAGGAUGGCAUACUAUGUUGUUGCUGACUGCUGCUUGGUGACCGCGGUGAGGGAUGGCAUGAAUCUUAUACCAUAUGAGUACAUCAUUGCUAGGCAGGGGAAUGAGAAGAUUGACAGGAUCCUGGGUCUCAGCCCUUUCACAAGGAAGAAGAGCAUGCUUGUCGUGUCGGAAUUCAUUGGCUGCUCACCCUCCCUGAGUGGCGCAAUUCGGGUGAACCCUUGGAACAUUGAGUCGGUGGCCGAGGCAAUGGACAAGGCCUUGCACACAGGUGAAGGUGAGCAGGCGCUGAGGCACGAGAAGCAUCACAAAUUUGUGAGCACACAUGAUGUCGGAUACUGGGCAAACAGCUUCCUGCAGGAUCUGGCGAGGACUUGCCAAGACCAUAACAAGAGGCGCUGCUGGGCCAUAGGAUUUGGGCUAAGGUUCAGGGUUGUGGCCCUUGAUACGAGCUUCAAGAAGCUCGCGGCUGAGCAUCUUGUCUCAGCCUACCGGAAGGCAACCACGCGCGCCAUUCUCUUGGACUAUGAUGGUACGCUGAUGCCUCAGUCAUUGUUUGGUAAGAUGCCGAGCCCCGAAACAAUAGACAUGUUGAACAGCCUUUGUCGCGAUGAGAAGAACAUGGUCUUAAUCGCAAGCACAAAGACCCGGGAGACCUUAAGUGAAUGGUUCUCAGCAUGUGAGGACCUAGGCCUUGCUGCUGAGCAUGGCUACUUCAUCAGGCUGGAACGAGAUGCAGAAUGGGAGACAUGCGGCCUGUCAACAGACUUCAGCUGGAAGCAAAUCGUGGAGCCGGUGAUGAAGACCUACACCGAGACAACGGACGGGUCGAUCAUCGAGGACAAGGAGACAGCAAUAGUGUGGUGCUACGAGGACGCGGACCAUGAUUUUGGAUCUUGCCAGGCCAAGGAGCUCCAUGAUCACCUGGAGAGUGUCCUCUCUAACGAGCCGGUAUCAGUCAAAGCUGACCUGCACUAUGUUGAGGUGAAGCCACAGGGUGUGAGCAAGGGCCUGGUGGCGAAGCGGAUGCUGUCGACAAUGCAGGAGCUGGGGCUCCAGCCCGACUUCAUCCUCUGCGUCGGGGACGACCGCUCCGACGAGGACAUGUUCGAGGUGAUCACCACCGCGGUGGACGGCCCCUACCUGAGCCCUUCCGCGACGGUCUUCGCCUGCACCAUCGGCCAAAAGCCCAGCAAGGCCAAGUACUACCUGGAUGAGCCCGCCGACAUCAAGCGCAUGAUCCGGGCCCUCGCGAGCGUCUCUGACCAGGAGCUGGCGAUGGAGGAGGGCGAAGACCCUCCUUACCCUUUCCUCGCCGGCGACGGCACCAGCAGCGACGACACCUGGCUGGACUGA
Molecule: ribosomal RNA, 2676 nt
Filed under: Triticum aestivum (bread wheat)
Lineage: Eukaryota; Viridiplantae; Streptophyta; Magnoliopsida; Poales; Poaceae
Description: partial small subunit ribosomal RNA
Source: RNAcentral